UUAAAGAGGAUUCCAAAUCUACCGAAGCUAAAUUUGUGGCCUCCAUUCUCUCGAAGAAGCAAAAGCAGAAGCAGAAAAUCACUAAGCUCGGAAGCUCCAGAACCCACAUCAACAACCUCCCCAAGCUCCUCUCCUACGUCACCCUAACCUCACCGCCUUAGUACGUCGUCAAAUCUCUCCUUUCCAUCCAAGCCUUCUUCACUCCGGUCUUGCCUGACCUCCCUUCCUCUUCUUCCAAGCCCAAUCACUCCCAGGACGAUGACCCCGAGUUCAUAUACAGCACUUGGCUCUAGUCCAAGUUUGACAAGCUCAUCGAGUCCCUCAUCCAGCUCCUUCUUUUGCCGGAAUCCGAUGAAACUCUCAAGUUUUUUUUUUUUUAAUUUACAGCCAUUCAGAUAAUUAUAGAUAUCUUUACUGCUUCUAAUUUGAAAUUUGAUAAUGUUGUUAGGAGGUGGUGUUGGAUACACUGAUGGAGUUUUUGAAGUUGGGAAACGGAAUAAGGUUUCACUCUGCUAUAUUCCUUAGGUUUCUUCGUAACAUUGUGUACUCUAAAACAUUGCCGAAUUUCUUGGUAGACUUGCUUGCAUCAAAGUAUUUCAAGUAUAUUGAUGUCCGAUAAGGUCACAUUGUUGUUAGGACUGAUAAUUGAUAAAUCUGAAAUCAGAUUGCUUCAUUUAGUUCUUUGACAGGUAUUGAAAAUGUAAUUCAUAGAUUGUUUUGGGUAUGGGGGGUUUUUGGGUGGCCAAGCGCCGCUGGGGCAUCAUCCUCUGGGUGGACCGGGGCUGUCAUCUGUGGGAAAUCAGGGACCUGGGAAUGGUGCUUAAAGUUACGAGAAUAUGCUCUCGUUUGAUAAUUGUAUUAGCUGUGCUUUUAUCGCCACUUCCUCUGUUCAUCUGCACCUUUUAAGAUGUAGGAAUUAAAGCAGUAUCCCACUUUAAGAGUGGAAGUUGGGAAUGUAAGAUUUGAAUCGCUGGAUAGGAUGAAAGAAGAGAGCAAGGAAGCAACUAUGCAGCUAGUUGAUAUGGAAUCUCUCCCCCAAUGUUUGUAGGACUUUGAAUAUCUCAUCUCUUAGAUAUCCGUCAUCUCGUAUAUCUAUUCUACGGCCGCGAGAGAAGCUUGAUGACUUCCAGAUUCCCAUCUCAUCAGCUUAGCAAUGGUCUUUAUGUGUCAGGCAGGCCUGAGCAGGCAAAAGAAAGAGCACCUACAAUGGGCUCAACUGCCAUGCCCUCUACUGUAAGCUUAGGGUUCUAAAUCACUUGGAUGAAUUCAAAUUUGUGGAAGAAUUCAUGGCCGCCUCAGGAGUAUAUCCCCAGGAACACUUUAGAAUUGGAGAAUCAUUGGUUCUAAAUAAGCAAAGACUCUGAACAGAGAUGCUGCUGAUUUUGAGUUGAAAGGUUAGAGGAAAGCUCAAUGUUAUCAGUUGGAUGACAAGAACAAAAACUUAGUAGAGAUUAGAGAACAGCAAAGGAAAUCAGAAGAAAGAAAGCAAAGGAAUGAGAGAGGAGAGGCAGCAACCAAUACACCCAAGUGGAUAUUGAUCAAGUGCGAAAUGAGUGGGGGAAGUUUGUUGUCAACACAUAUGUGCACGAGUCAUGAAGUAGUGCACUUGUUGCUGGUACAUUUUAGAUAAAGAAAGCAUCUUUUUUGUGCUUCUCUGCUGGUACAUUGUAUGCACCAUGUGUGGCAUGUUUUGGAACAAUAUAUAUGUGUAUCAUCUUUUUGAUGUCCCA
Molecule: long non-coding RNA, 1730 nt
Organism: Rosa chinensis
Lineage: Eukaryota; Viridiplantae; Streptophyta; Magnoliopsida; Rosales; Rosaceae
Exons: 8
Source: RefSeq, a predicted model, not a curated record